Molecule: ribosomal RNA, 476 nt
Filed under: uncultured bacterium
Lineage: Bacteria
Description: partial 16S ribosomal RNA
Rfam family: Bacterial small subunit ribosomal RNA
Source: RNAcentral
GAUGAACGCUGGCGGCGUGCUUAACACAUGCAAGUCGAGCGAGAGAGUUCUUCGGAACAAUCUAGCGGCGGACGGGUGAGUAACACGUGGGCAACCUGCCUCAUAGAGGGGAAUAGCCUUCCGAAAGGAAGAUUAAUACCGCAUAACAUCGUUGAAGGGCAUCCUUCGAUGAUCAAAGGAGCAAUCCGCUAUGAGAUGGGCCCGCGGCGCAUUAGCUAGUUGGUGAGGUAACGGCUCACCAAGGCGACGAUGCGUAGCCGACCUGAGAGGGUGAUCGGCCACAUUGGGACUGAGACACGGCCCAGACUCCUACGGGAGGCAGAAGUGGGGAAUAUUGCACAAUGGGGUAAACCCUGAUGCAGCAACGCCGCGUGAGUGAUGACGGCCUUCGGGUUGUAAAGCUCUGUCUUUGGGGACGAUAAUGACGGUACCCAAGGAGGAAGUCACGGCUAACUACGUGCCAGCCGCCGCGGUAA